Molecule: ribosomal RNA, 422 nt
Filed under: uncultured bacterium
Lineage: Bacteria
Description: partial 16S ribosomal RNA
Rfam family: Bacterial small subunit ribosomal RNA
Source: RNAcentral
AAUAUUGGACAAUGGUCGAAAGCCUGACCCCACCAUGCCGCGUGUGUGAAGAAGGUCUUCGGAUUGUAAAUCAUGUCAUGUUGGGAGGUAGGGCAGGAAGUUAAUACCUUGCUGUUUUGACGUUACCGACAGAUUAAGCACACGCAAACUCCGUGCCAGCAGCCGAGGUAAUACUAAGGCUGCAAGCGUUAAUCGGAAUUACUGGGCGUAAAGCGGUCGUAGGUGGUUUGUUAAGUUGGAAGUGAAAGCCCCGGGCUCAACCUGGGAACUGCUUUCAAAACUGGCAAGCUAGAGUAUGGCAGAGGGUGGUGGAAUUUCCUGUGUAGCGGUGAAAUGCGUAGAUAUAGGAAGGAACACCAGUGGCGAAGGCGACCACCUGGGCUAAUACUGACACUGAGGUGCGAAAGCGUGGGGAGCAAACA